This 429-nucleotide ribosomal RNA is filed under the name Chloroflexota bacterium. RNAcentral's name for it is "Chloroflexi bacterium partial 16S ribosomal RNA". It matches the Rfam family "Bacterial small subunit ribosomal RNA", at positions 355 to 776 of the family's 1533-position model. Lineage: Bacteria; Bacillati; Chloroflexota. The record is from RNAcentral.
UAGGGAAUCUUCGGCAAUGGACGAAAGUCUGACCGAGCAACGCCGCGUGAGUGAAGAAGGUUUUCGGAUCGUAAAACUCUGUUGUUAGAGAAGAACAAGGACGUUAGUAACUGAACGUCCCCUGACGGUAUCUAACCAGAAAGCCACGGCUAACUACGUGCCAGCAGCCGCGGUAAUACGUAGGUGGCAAGCGUUGUCCGGAUUUAUUGGGCGUAAAGCGAGCGCAGGCGGUUUCUUAAGUCUGAUGUGAAAGCCCCCGGCUCAACCGGGGAGGGUCAUUGGAAACCGGGAGACUUGAGUGCAGAAGAGGAGAGUGGAAUUCCAUGUGUAGCGGUGAAAUGCGUAGAUAUAUGGAGGAACAACAGUGGCGAAGGCGGCUCUCUGGUCUGUAACUGACGCUGAGGAUCGAAAGCGUGGGGAGCAAACAGG